AAUGAACGCUGGCGGCAGGCCUAACACAUGCAAGUCGAACGGAUCCUUCGGGAUUAGUGGCGGACGGGUGAGUAACGCGUGGGAACAUACCCUUUGGUACGGAAUAGCCUCGGGAAACUGGGAGUAAUACCGUAUGUGCUCUUCGGAGGAAAGAUUUAUCGCCAAAGGAUUGGCCCGCGUUGGAUUAGGUAGUUGGUGGGGUAAUGGCCUACCAAGCCGACGAUCCAUAGCUGGUUUGAGAGGAUGAUCAGCCACACUGGGACUGAGACACGGCCCAGACUCCUACGGGAGGCAGCAGUGGGGAAUCUUAGACAAUGGGGGAAACCCUGAUCUAGCCAUGCCGCGUGCUCGAUGAAGGCCUUAGGGUUGUAAAGAUCUUUCAGUGGGGAAGAUAAUGACGGUACCCACAGAAGAAAGCCCCCGGCUAACUCCGUGCCAGCAGCCGCGGUAAU
This 452-nucleotide ribosomal RNA is filed under the name uncultured bacterium. RNAcentral's name for it is "bacterial SSU rRNA". It matches the Rfam family "Bacterial small subunit ribosomal RNA", at positions 29 to 524 of the family's 1533-position model. The record is from RNAcentral.